Molecule: signal recognition particle RNA, 299 nt
Filed under: Cebus imitator (Panamanian white-faced capuchin)
Lineage: Eukaryota; Metazoa; Chordata; Mammalia; Primates; Cebidae
Description: Metazoan signal recognition particle RNA (ENSCCAG00000008638.1)
Rfam family: Metazoan signal recognition particle RNA
About the family: The signal recognition particle (SRP) is a universally conserved ribonucleoprotein. It is involved in the co-translational targeting of proteins to membranes. The eukaryotic SRP consists of a 300-nucleotide 7S RNA and six proteins: SRPs 72, 68, 54, 19, 14, and 9.
Source: RNAcentral
GCCGGGCGCGGUGGCACGUGCCUGUAGUCCCAGCUACUCAGAAGGCUGAAGUGGAAGGAUCGCUUGAUUCCAGGAGUUCUGGGCUGUAGUGCGCUAUGCCGAUCGGGUGUCUGCACUAAGUUCGGCAUCAAUAUGGUGACCUCCCGGGAGCGGGGGACCACCAGGUUGCCUAAGGAGGGGUGAACCGGCCCAGGUCGGAAACCGCGCAGGUCAAAACUCCCAUGCUGAUCAGUAGUGGGAUCGCGCCUGUGAAUAGCCACUGCACUCCAGCCUGGGCAACAUAGCGGGACCCCGUCUUU